This is a long non-coding RNA of Triticum dicoccoides, 230 nucleotides long. RefSeq lists it as uncharacterized. The transcript has 3 exons. The record is from RefSeq and is a predicted model, not a curated record. Lineage: Eukaryota; Viridiplantae; Streptophyta; Magnoliopsida; Poales; Poaceae.
GCCGGUGAGGAUCUCCACAAGCUCACGGCCGGAAACCUCGACAAGCUGGCACAGUUUCUUCAAGGAUUGGAAUCUGAAUGCUUUGGAUAAAAGGCUGCCAGCGAGAAUUUGGAGGGAAAAGCCUUUCUGCAAGUGCACAAGAGCGUCCUCAACUCCAAGGCCAGUGAGGACUCUCUGGUGUUGUGUGUUCUGGAAGAUGGAAGAGGAAGAAAACCUAUUUUUGUUGAACU